UAUUAGUCCAGUAAUGUAGAUGCACAAAUUGCAAUACUCCAUUACUUUGAAUGCUAAUUUUGGUGCUAACAUUUAUUAUUUGAUAAUAUUUAUUUGAAUAUUACAGUGCAGGCUACAGUUUCUCUAGUACCUGUACUACUUUGGGUAUUAUUUUUGUGACCUUCUGGUACACCACCAUCAGUUCUACUAAAAAAUCUGAAUGUCAUCUGUGAAAGUACUUCACCACCAUUGAUGAUUUUAUACUUAAUACUAAAUACCAGGUAUAGGCUACCUUCGGCACUCCAGAUGUGGACUAUAUGUACCCUGAUCCUUUGCCAGCAUUAUGGUUAUGGGAGAUGUAGUCCACAACAUCUGGAAUGCUAAUUGUUUCUUACCUCUGCUAUAUACUAUAGAAAGAACAAGUUAAAUCAGAAUUUACACAAUGCACAGUAGAACAACAGAUUACAUCUUCUUACAUGUGUUACCUUGAAUUGUAUUAUCAUCAUGAAUGGUAGGAUAUUGCUGUAGAACCUCUAUUUAGGGAUCGUAGAACCAGUUUCAUUGCCCUUUCCCAAGAGUGUUGCUAGGAGACAAAAAUAGCAGGGGAUAUAAUCCAAGAGUAAAUUGUAAGCUCCCUCUAACAUAUAUUUACUUAAGAUUCUGCUAAUGCCAGCCGUAAGCCAUGCUCUAAGUAAACCGUUAAAUCAUAAUCUGUUUUAUAAAUCACAUCAACCGAGUUAUUCACAAAAGUGAGAAUUGUUAGAAAUUAAAAGCAAAUAGAUUAAGUCCAACAUAUCUGAACUAGAAAAAUUAUCCACCUCAGCUAUUCUUCCAGUUUGGCUUCUUUGAUGUUAAAGGACUUUUAUAGGCUCCAAAACUACUUCAUUGAGAUGAAGUGGUCUGGGUACAGUGCCCUGCCAUUUUUUUGUCCUGCAAUGUAAAAUAUUGAGAAAUCAAAGAACACCGGAAUAAGGGCUUUGCUACAGUGUAUAACAAACAACAAUACAAAGUCCAGAUAAAAGAAGUCUUAAGUAAAGAAUACCCUCUUGUAUAAUGGUCAAGUAGUCAGAGGGUCAAAGCAGAAAAGUCUUGUCUAGAAGGUAUUCAACGUUCUGUGAUGAAAUCCACAUAUAAUAUAAAAAGACAAAAGCGGGAGAGACACCAAUAGUGCAAUAUGUCAAUACGUACAGAGUGGAGGUAGUAACAAAAUAGCGAUGAGGUAAUCACAUUUGAUGGAGCUAUAGCCAGCUCAAGUAUAAAUAGCGUUCAGUGGUAUAAUCCCCACUUACAGGAUAUGGUGUGGGUGUCCUCAAAAAAGGAAAGUCUGAAAACCCAAAAGUAAAGAUAAAAUGCAACAGAUAUCAUGGUAUGUUAUAAAAACUUCUAAAAGUAGCAUAAAACAAGAUAUACUCACAAAGGUAGAGCUGACCAACUGCUCUAUGAAUGAGGCAACAAGGUAAUGAUCCCCACCUAAUAUUUCUUUGGAGUUGGUAGGAGCAAUGAUAAGAAAAUUUUUAAAAAAUUAUAUAGAAUGCCAGGUAGCUUUAAAGGAUAGUUAUUAUAAAAUACAAAGUAGAGUUUUAGCAAAAACAUCAUUUAAUUACAUAAAAGCAGAGUAAUAACAUUCAUAAACGUGUUUUCACUCAUUUUAUAUAUUAUUUUUUUUUUAUUAUUCUUAUCAUCGAUCCUAUCAGAUUUUUCUGCUUUGACACUGACUACUUGAAUUUCCCAUUAUACAAAAGGGUAUUUUUUACUUAAGACUUCUUUUAUCUGGACUUUUUAUUAUUAUUUAUUACACACUGUAGACGCAGCCCUAAUGUCUGUGUUCUUUGCUUUCUCCGUGUACUAAGGGUUUGAGAGGAAUUCCUUAAUUUGGGUUGCUGCAACUUUUUUCUAUUGAUUAGCGCUGAUCCUCUUGCUUGAAUGUAAAAUAUUGCCAUAUUAUAGAUGCAUUGCAGUGCUAAAACACACCUCUUCCUGACAGACACUAGUGUGUGGUAUAACGUAGUCAGAGUCGGUUAUGCAAUGUUCAGCAUUCUUACGCAUUGCACGAGGACCUCAAAUAUCCUCUAGUAAUGAUCAUAGGGAAGCAUUGGAGUCCAUGCUUCCUAAUGAGAAGCAUUAAGCUUGAUUAGUACUUCUUGUCCCCUAUAUUUCUCUAUAAAUGAAUUAACAUGAAUUGGAUUGAAUUGUAUGAGGGUUGAUGUCACUUUUGGAGAAGCAGGUGGCUGCACGGAGUGGGUCCCAGCACAUAAAGAAUGGUGAGUAAAACCCUUUCCCCCCCCCAUUUUUUAAAUUACUUACAUGGGCGCCAUGAAUUAAAAUCGGGAGUAGAAGACCAUAACAUUAGGAGAGCGUUUCCUAACACCAUAGUGUUCCUUUUAAACUAUAAUUUUACUUUGAAAUUACCCUGUAUUCCUGACAAUGUUCUCUUUACAGAAUAACCCUGCAAUUAUUGAAUUCAUAGUAUUAUUUUAUCCUAUCUUUAUAAACUUUGAUAAACCUUAAUCCAUACUGUAUUAACUAUUCACUACACUACAUUAAAACCCUCCACCCACAGCAAUAUCCCAACAUUGUGCUGUAUAGUUAAGUCCAAAGAUGGUGCAUCAGUGUUGCACUUACAUUAUAUAAUUGGUGGUAUUUUUUUUUCCUUCUCUCUCAAUUUAACAGGGGAUUCUGGGUCUAAAGAUAAAAUGAAUAGUGCCAAAAUUAGACCUGGGUUUUCAGGAUCCAUCUCAGUCCUCCUGUCAGCCUCCCAUAACAAUGCCCUUGCCAAUUCCCUUAGAACGUAGAAUAUGGGCUUAAACCUUGGAUAGAGUUAUGUAUGAUAUUGAACUUCCAGAUUUGUCAAGUAGAAAGUUACUUCUCAGAACUGUUACAUUACUACACCCUGAUUGUGUUGGCCCCCAAAUCCUAGACCAUGCUUGUUUGCAAUUAAUUUGUUUCUAUUGAGGCAUUAACAUUUAUUGCUAAGUUGCUGAUUGUAUUGAAACUAGAUUGUUAGUUUUGUAAUACCUAUACUGCUGUUAUCAUGAUCUUACUAAAUGUUUAAAUAACAAAAAAGUAUUUGGUCUCCACGUGAAGUAUUUUUCAUAAUUCUUCAAAAGUGUAGUGCACUUAUACAAUGGGUUGUGUUUGUACUGAGCAAAUAAACUAAACAGAGACAAAUGUGGACAUUAAAGCAACAAGAAGCUCAGUGAUCACACAAGGAAAAUAUGUUUUAUAAAG
This 3207-nucleotide long non-coding RNA is filed under the name Pelobates cultripes (western spadefoot toad). Lineage: Eukaryota; Metazoa; Chordata; Amphibia; Anura; Pelobatidae. The record is from RNAcentral.